GACGAACGCUGGCGGCGUGCUUAACACAUGCAAGUCGAACGGAAAGGCCCUGCUUUUGUGGGGUGCUCGAGUGGCGAACGGGUGAGUAACACGUGAGUAACCUGCCCUUGACUUUGGGAUAACUUCAGGAAACUGGGGCUAAUACCGGAUAGGAGCUCCUGCUGCAUGGUGGGGGUUGGAAAGUUUCGGCGGUUGGGGAUGGACUCGCGGCUUAUCAGCUUGUUGGUGGGGUAGUGGCUUACCAAGGCUUUGACGGGUAGCCGGCCUGAGAGGGUGACCGGGAACCGUGGGACGAGACGCGGCGCAGAACGCGAAGGGGAGGGAGAGGGGGUGAACAUGGAGCAAGGGGCGGAGGGCGGUAGCACGACGGCGGGGGGCGGGAGGAGGGCUGGGGGGUUGUAGACCGAGUCCGCGUGGGGCGAAGCGGGAGUGGGGUUAAGGGGUAAAGAAGCAGCGGCUCACGACGGGCCAGCAUCCGCGGUCAGGAAGAGGAGCACCGGUCGGACC
This 507-nucleotide ribosomal RNA is filed under the name uncultured bacterium. RNAcentral describes it as "partial 16S ribosomal RNA". The stretch from base 20 to 329 matches the Rfam family "Bacterial small subunit ribosomal RNA", at positions 47 to 358 of the family's 1533-position model. The record is from RNAcentral.